RNAcentral lists this ribosomal RNA (422 nucleotides) under uncultured bacterium. RNAcentral describes it as "bacterial SSU rRNA". It matches the Rfam family "Bacterial small subunit ribosomal RNA", at positions 355 to 777 of the family's 1533-position model. The record is from RNAcentral.
UAGGGAAUAUUGCGCAAUGGGGGCAACCCUGACGCAGCAACUCCACGUGUGGGAUGAAGCAUUUCGGUGUGUAAACCACUGUCGAGAGGGAAUAAUUCGGCCUUUCGGGGCCGUUGAAUGUACCUUUAAAGGAAGCACCGGCAAACUUCGUGCCAGCAGCCGCGGUAAUACGAGGGGUGCAAGCGUUGUUCGGAAUCACUGGGCGUAAAGGGAGCGUAGGCGGGCCGCCAAGCGUUCUGUGCAAUCCCGGGGCCCAACCCCGGACCCGCAGAGCGAACUGGCGUCCUUGAGUGGUUCAGAGGCCGGCGGAAUUCCUGGUGUAGCGGUGGAAUGCGUAGAUAUCAGGAAGAACACCGAUGGCGAAGGCAGCCGGCUGGGGACCCACUGACGCUGAGGCUCGAAAGCGUGGGAAGCAAACAGGA